Molecule: long non-coding RNA, 3039 nt
Organism: Numida meleagris (helmeted guineafowl)
Lineage: Eukaryota; Metazoa; Chordata; Aves; Galliformes; Numididae
Exons: 3
Source: RefSeq, a predicted model, not a curated record
CAGUGUCUUUGCUGGGGAGCACCUGAGCUCCAGUAGGGUUUGGGUUUUAGAGAAGGAAGAGAUCAGAUAAAACACGCUUUUUUGCGAACCCUCCUAGAAAGAGUUAAUAGCGGUCUAUCUGCAGAUGUCCUGAUGGAGUGAAGGCAAGCCAUGAUAUUUUAUAUCAUUUUGAUAUCCGGUCUAAAUUAGGCCUGAGGGAAAGACUGUGGCCUAUUUAACCCAGCAUCUGUCAGUUAUCAUUAUUUUCAGCCAACUUUAGUAGUUUCAAGUACACAAUUUGUAUUUGCGGGGAGAAGAGCAAACGAGGCUAACGGGAGCUGAGUUUGGCUACUGUCUUUCUUGUUGGAAGUGUUUGCAGGAGCCCUUCUGAAGUUGUUGCACGAGAGAAGAAAUAAAUGAGGAAUAGCAGCGUGGCUGAAACCGGCCUCCGGUCACCGAGAGCAGCAUAGACAAUAGCACAAGGAAAGGCGUUAGAAGUUGUUUUCAAUUCUUAGUCUUGGGCAGAGCUGCAGUAUUCGGUUAAUAGUGUUGCAAGAAAAAGGGAGGGGGCUGGCAAUGGGAUACAGCUGUGAAAAAGGCCAACGUGCUCUUGGGCGGGGAGUUCUCAGUAAGGAUGCAGCUGUGCUCGUGCCAGCCCGGGAGAUGAGGAAGCCCAGGGGCAGGCUCCCAGCAUCCAGGUGGUUGGAUCUCACUGCCUGCCCGGUUUGCAGACAGUGCAGUUCCUGGAGCAGAGCAGAGCCAGCAGCUCGAAGUAGAAAUUAUGAUUCGCUGGUGAAUGCGGUGCUGCCUUCUGUAAUGGAGACUGGAAUUUACAGAUGACGUCAAGCUGCUGCUCAUCCUUCCAGCGAUCCUACUCUUUAGAUACUGAAAGCAUCAUCAGUGCAGCUUGUUUGCAGAGCAAGGUGGUGGCAGCUGCUUCUGCCUCUCCUGUGUGCACACACCUGACUGCUCUAAGUCCUGUGCAGGUGCUCUUUGGGCUCUGAACUUCUGCUGCCCGCAUCGUUUCCUUCCUCCUGUUGCUGGUGGAGCUGCUCAGCUUCUUUCUAUCUAUUUGCAUUUCUGAAGAUGAGCAUCAUGCGCUGCAUGGACUCUCACCAAACCUGGCUGUUCUCUCCUGGCUGAGCUGCUGGUGCACGGAGGCCAACCUGUGCCGUGAUGGUGCACGGAGGCCGCUCUGAGCACAGCCUGUGUGGUGGGUGGCACACGGCUGUGGGCUGCAGACCCGUCCUGUGCAGGGCUGCGGUGCUCAGUGCACGUCCUGCGGCCAGGCCAGGCAGGGAGCGGUUGGCGGCAGCAGGUUGGCUGUUCCAGCAUGCACAGCAGCUCUGAGGUUUCGAGGUGUGCCUGACCCUUCUUAUGUAAUCUGCUAAAAUGCCACGUUGUGUAAUGCUGUUGUAUAAGCAGGGUGCAGGCAGGCUUCGGGAUUUCGGCAUCCAGGCAGUGCUUUCUGCCGAGCACUCCCUCCCCUGCAGCCAGGAGGGAAUCGGUCCCAGGGACUUCCCAUCUGCUUCACCGCACACCGGCUCGCAGCUGGGCACCAGGACACGGUGCUGGCUCUGUGCAUUGUUCUUUCGGUUUGGAAAGACUGUCAGUGAUACCAGUUACCAUCUGGAGGCUUUGUGUCAGGAUGAUGGGCGCUGUUAGGGACAGAUGACAACUUUCCGUGCGGCACUGACCCAACUCUUCCUCCCCACGUGCAGGUUGGUGGUUGAGGUGUCUCUGCUGCCUGCCAAUGCCAUGCCAGAGGCCUGGGCCACAGGUCUGGCCCUGUUCUGAAGAUGGCUGCAGCAGGGAGGUGUUGUCUGGAAAAACCAGAAAAGGAGCAGGGGCAAUUGUCCAGGGCUUGAUGGCAGUGAGUGUGCCUGCUAGCAGCUCCCGUACUUCUGGUUUAUGCCUUGGGUCAUGUGUCCGUCACCCCCUUCGUGCUCCAUGACCUGCCACUGACGUGGUGCAGGGCUACAGGUGAUCAGGCUGUUCGGGUGCACUAAAUGCAUUUCUGCUUGCAGAGGCCUCAUGCUUUAUUUAUGCACUUCCUUUACAGAGACCUGUUGUAAUAUAUAAACACAUUCUGCCCAGCACACGGCAGUAAACAACCCGACGACCUGAGAUCACACCUCUGUUCCUUGCACUCUCGGACCUGGCAGCUGGAGCGACACGUGCUCUGAGCGAGGCAGAGGGGCCGUGCGGGCGGGUAGGAAAUGAGUAAUGGUGACUCAUCAGCGCUGGGGGAAGGUGGUGGGUGCUGGGGGGCUGCGGUGCUGGCCGUGAGAGCCGUUCCUCAGUGCACGUCAUCGGGUGGAGGGGCUGUCCUUGGGCUGGGGGUGGUUGGCACGAGCAGCGGAUUCCUGCUCCUGCGUUUAGCAGCGCCUUUCCAGGAGGGAAGCAGAUAUGGGAAGCCCGGUCCUUUGCGAGAUGUGCUGCAGCCGGCGAGCCUGCAUGCUAAUGGAGAGCGACUUUGCAGGAGUUUCCUCACUCCCUGCCCUUCUGUGUCCAGCCAACAUCACCAUGGGUACCAUGCUACCUUUACAAAGCUGUCUCGCGGAGGGAAUGCCAGGUCUUCCACAGCACAGGCAUCUCAAAUGGGUGCUUGAAAUGAGCUCAGAGGGGAAAUGUAUCCAAGUGCUUCUAAUCACACUCCAGUGACAAUGGCACGAUUUGGAACAUGGCAAACAGGCUUUGAAUGUCAGUGCAUUGUUCAUAGUGAGAUAUGUGUCAUGUCGCAUUAGCUCAGGCCGACAGCUACCAGUGGGAAAAUAUUUCUGCGAGUUCCUCAGAGUGCCCCCACCUCCUAUAGGCAGCGACUUGUGCUGUCGUGGUGGCAGCAGAACUGCCCAGCCACGCUGGGAAGCACAGAGACCAUCUGGUGCUGCGUACACAGAGUCGGCCGAGCGCUGUGUCCGAAGGGCAGGCGUGCCUUGUGCUGGACGUGGACUCCCGAAGAACGCAUCUGGCUGUUCAGGAGAUGGAGCCCCGUUUUAUUUCUUGGUAACUUGCGCAUCCCCAGAGCAAUUCCCUGGAGACAUUCAAGGCCAGACUGGA